GGACUUGGGGUUUGGGAUGUAGGAAGGGUUUUUGAGAGAAAAGGAAAGGUUUAUCCAUGAUAGUUCUCUCAAGGUCAGGUGGAAAGAUGGGUUUGAAGAGAUGGGAGCUAGAUCCAGGGGAUUCUGGAAGGAAUGAAACCCAUGGGAAGAGAAGAAAAAGCUCGGCUAAAUAAAGAAGAUGAACAUGAGUUUUGAGGGAUUUGGUUGGUUUUAAUUUGGUGUGAUCAGUCAGAUUCCAAAGUUUAAUGAACUUGGGUCUGGAUCAAGUC
RNAcentral lists this long non-coding RNA (269 nucleotides) under Elaeis guineensis (African oil palm). RNAcentral describes it as "long non-coding RNA (EGUI_LNC054187)". The record is from RNAcentral. Lineage: Eukaryota; Viridiplantae; Streptophyta; Magnoliopsida; Arecales; Arecaceae.